This 497-nucleotide ribosomal RNA is filed under the name uncultured bacterium. RNAcentral's name for it is "partial 16S ribosomal RNA". It matches the Rfam family "Bacterial small subunit ribosomal RNA", at positions 28 to 507 of the family's 1533-position model. The record is from RNAcentral.
GAUGAACGCUGGCGGCGUGCCUAAUACAUGCAAGUAGAACGCCGAAGGAAGGAGCUUGCUCUUUCCGGAUGAUUUGCGAACGGGUGAGUAACGCGUAGUUAACCUGCCUGGUAGCGGGGGAUAACUAUUGGAAACGAUAGCUAAUACCGCAUAACAGUAGAUGUUGCAUGAUAUCUACUUAAAAGGUGCAAUUGCACCACUACCAGAUGGACCUGCGUUGUAUUAGCUAGUUGGUGAGGUAACGGCUCACCAAGGCGACGAUACAUAGCCGACCUGAGAGGGUGAUAGGCCACACUGGGACUGAGACACGGCCCAGACUCCUACGGGAGGCAGCAGUAGGGAAUCUUCGGCAAUGGACGGAAGUCGGAACGAGCAACGCCGCGUGAGUGAAGAAGGUUGUCGGAUCGUAAAGCUGUGUUGUAAGAGAAGAACGAGAGUGAGAGUGGAAAGUGCACACUGUGACGGUAUCGUACCAGAAAGGGACGGCUAACUACGUG